This 253-nucleotide ribosomal RNA is filed under the name uncultured prokaryote. RNAcentral's name for it is "partial 16S ribosomal RNA". It matches the Rfam family "Bacterial small subunit ribosomal RNA", at positions 524 to 776 of the family's 1533-position model. The record is from RNAcentral.
UACGUAGGGGGCGAGCGUUGUCCGGAAUCAUUGGGCGUAAAGCGCAUGUAGGCGGCCGCGUUAGUCGGAUGUGAAAUCCCGAGGCUCAACUUCGGAACUGCAUCCGAUACUGCGCGGCUUGAGGAAGGUAGAGGAGAGUGGAAUUCCCGGUGUAGCGGUGGAAUGCGCAGAUAUCGGGAGGAACACCAGCGGCGAAGGCGGCUCUCUGGGCCUCUCCUGACGCUGAGAUGCGAAAGCGUGGGUAGCGAACAGG